GGCAAGGUCUGAGUGUUCCGUGAGCUCUCUCGUUCACUCCGGAAACAGUGGUUCAGAGGCACCGUGCCCCUCUUGCCACCGGGACAUUUACCGCUCCGCUGCCGAGUGCAACCCGACCCAUCGGCGACGACCUUCCCAGCGCCACCGAGCCGCCGGCUCCUUCUAAACGGGCAACUUCCAGAGUCCACGGGAUCGAGAGGGCCACGACAAAAUGGGAAGAAAAAGUUUUCUGCCCACCAGCGGCCUGAAGACAAUGAAAUGGUCCAGAGCUUCUUUCAGGAGGGACAAAGGACCCGUCCCGCCUGCAGUGAAUAAAGCUACAGUUGGGGGA
Ornithorhynchus anatinus (platypus) is the source of this 331-nucleotide long non-coding RNA. RefSeq lists it as uncharacterized. The record is from RefSeq and is a predicted model, not a curated record. NCBI's taxonomy places the organism in Eukaryota, Metazoa, Chordata, Mammalia, Monotremata, Ornithorhynchidae. The transcript has 2 exons.